AUUGAACGCUGGCGGCAGGCCUAACACAUGCAAGUCGAGCGGAGCGGCGGUCGGGUGAGUGAUGCCUAGGACUCUGACUGUUAGUGGGGGAUAGCGUCCGGAAACGGGCGCUAAUACCGCAUACUAUCAGAUGAGCCUAGGUGGGAUUAGCUAGUUGGUGGGGUAAGGGCCUACCAAGGCGACGAUCCGUAACUGUUCUGAGAGGAUGAUCAGCCACACUGGAACUGAGACACGGUCCAGACUCCUACGGGAGGCAGCAGUGGGGAAUAUUGGACAAUGGGCGAAAGCCUGAUGCAGCCAUGCCGCGUGUGUGAAGAAGGUCUUCGGAUUGUAAAGCACUUUAAGUUGGGAGGCGUUACCCACAGAAUAAGCACCGGCUAACUUCGUGCCAGCAGCCGCGGUAAUAC
RNAcentral lists this ribosomal RNA (407 nucleotides) under uncultured bacterium. Its description in RNAcentral is "partial 16S ribosomal RNA". It matches the Rfam family "Bacterial small subunit ribosomal RNA", at positions 30 to 526 of the family's 1533-position model. The record is from RNAcentral.